RNAcentral lists this ribosomal RNA (253 nucleotides) under uncultured bacterium. RNAcentral's name for it is "partial 16S ribosomal RNA". It matches the Rfam family "Bacterial small subunit ribosomal RNA", at positions 524 to 776 of the family's 1533-position model. The record is from RNAcentral.
UACGUAGGGAGCAAGCGUUGUCCGGAAUCAUUGGGCGUAAAGCGCGCGCAGGCGGUCCUUUAAGUCUGAUGGGAAAGCCCACGGCUCAACCGUGGAAGGUCAUUGGAAACUGCAGGACUUGAGGCUGGGAGGGGCUGGUGGAAUUCCCUGUGUAGCGGUGAAAUGCGUAGAGAUGGGGGAGAACACUCGUGGCGAAGGCGGCCAGCUAGACCAGUUCUGACACUGAGGCGCGACAGCGUGGGGAGCAAACAGG